This 74-nucleotide transfer RNA is filed under the name Candidatus Omnitrophota bacterium. RNAcentral describes it as "tRNA-Val". It matches the Rfam family "tRNA". Rfam says of the family: Transfer RNA (tRNA) molecules are approximately 80 nucleotides in length. Their secondary structure includes four short double-helical elements and three loops (D, anti-codon, and T loops). Lineage: Bacteria; Pseudomonadati; Candidatus Omnitrophota. The record is from RNAcentral.
GGGCGGUUAGCUCAGCUGGUUAGAGCACCUGAUUUACAUUCAGGUGGUCGUUGGUUCGAUCCCAGCACCGCCCA